UAGGGAAUCUUCCACAAUGGACGGAAGUCUGAUGGAGCAACGCCGCGUGAGCGAAGAAGGUUUUCGGAUCGUAAAGCUCUGUUGUGAGGGAAGAACAAGUGCAGGAGUAACUGCCUGUACUUUGACGGUACCUCAUUAGAAAGCCACGGCUAACUACGUGCCAGCAGCCGCGGUAAUACGUAGGUGGCAAGCGUUGUCCGGAAUUAUUGGGCGUAAAGCGCGCGCAGGCGGCCUUUUAAGUCUGAUGUGAAAUCCCACGGCUCAACCGUGGAAAGUCAUUGGAAACUGGAAGGCUUGAGUACAGAAGAGGAAAGCGGAAUUCCACGUGUAGCGGUGAAAUGCGUAGAGACGUGGAGGAACACCAGUGGCGAAGGCGGCUUUCUGGUCUGUAACUGACGCUGAGGCGCGAAAGCGUGGGGAGCAAACAGGAUUAGAUACCCUGGUAGUCCACGCCGUAAACGAUGAGUGCUAAGUGUUA
Molecule: ribosomal RNA, 478 nt
Filed under: uncultured Bacillota bacterium
Lineage: Bacteria; Bacillati; Bacillota
Description: bacterial SSU rRNA
Rfam family: Bacterial small subunit ribosomal RNA
Source: RNAcentral